Molecule: microRNA precursor, 84 nt
Filed under: Oryctolagus cuniculus (rabbit)
Lineage: Eukaryota; Metazoa; Chordata; Mammalia; Lagomorpha; Leporidae
Description: mir-184 microRNA precursor family
Rfam family: mir-184 microRNA precursor family
Source: Rfam by way of RNAcentral
CCAGUCACAUCCCCUUAUCACUUUUCCAGCCCAGCUUUGUGACUCUGACUGUUGGACGGAGAACUGAUAAGGGUAGGUGGCUGU